This 783-nucleotide ribosomal RNA is filed under the name uncultured Neocallimastigales. RNAcentral's name for it is "partial large subunit ribosomal RNA". It matches the Rfam family "Eukaryotic large subunit ribosomal RNA", at positions 24 to 646 of the family's 3401-position model. The record is from RNAcentral. Lineage: Eukaryota; Fungi; Neocallimastigomycota; Neocallimastigomycetes; Neocallimastigales.
UAUCUCUGUAGAGUCUGCAUAUCAAUAAGCGGAGGAAAAGAAACUAACAUAGGAUUCCCUCAGUAACGGCGAGUGAAGCGGGAAGAGCUCAAAUUUGAAAUCUUCAAGGUUUUACCUUGACGAAUUGUAGUUUAAAGAAGUGUUUUCUGUUGAAGUUUUGGUAAAAGUUCUUUGGAAAUAGGACAUCAUAGAGGGUGAGAAUCCCGUAUUUGACCAUUAUUUUCCACUGUGUGAUACACUCUCAAAGAGUCGGAUUGUUUGGGAAUGCAGUCCAAAAUGGGUGGUAAAUUUCAUCUAAAGCUAAAUACUGGCGAGAGACCGAUAGCGAACAAGUACCGUGAGGGAAAGAUGAAAAGAACUUUGAAAAGAGAGUUAAACAGUACGUGAAAUUGUCAAAAGGGAAGCGUUUGACACCAGUGUUGUUUUCUCGAAAAUCAAUUAAAAAAGGAUUGGGAUUUUGUGUUGUACUGACCUUUAAUCAGCUUUCUUCACUCUUUUCUUGUCUUUUUUAAUGCACUUUUCGUUUAACAAGUCAACAUCAGUUUCUUUUGUUGUAAAAGGGUCAUUGGAAGGUGGCUUUCUUUUCGGAGAAAGUGUUUAUAGCCUUUGCUCUCUGCAAUCGGAGAGACUUGAGGUCUGCAGCGUAGACUCCUUCGGGGUUAGAUACAUUUGUGCUAAGUUAUAGCCUUUCUAUAGACAACUUGUUGACUAUGAUCAGUCAUGUAGCUUACUCGCUUAUGCUAUUUUACCUACGCUUAGGAUGUUGAUGUGAUACUGCGAGCA